AUGCUGAGUUAUUAAACUCCUAUUAUAUAUCUAUAGACCUUUUUAUAAGUAGUGUAUUGUGUGUAGAAUAUAUUAGAUAGAUGGACUUAUAUGAGUGUGGAGUUGAGCUGCUCCUAUGAAUUUAUGGCGAAAAAGUUGUAGAGCACUUAUGAAAAUCAGGUGCGCGCAUGGCCUACUAGCGCAAAACCGCGACAAACAAUAAAGUGUGUGUGGGUAUAAUGUGAUAGAUAAGACACUAAACUUACAAAAAUAUUCUUGGUUCAUAUAAUUUCUAAACUUCACCAAUUGUUUUGUAAGUUUAACCUUAUUUUAUCUAGGUCUGGUUCAUAGUCCAAGAGGCACCAGAAUCAAUGCAUUAUGCUCAUUUCUGAAAACCAAGAGAAAUUUAUUUUCAUUAUGGUAUUCUUUUUAAGCUAUGUUGGGGAUUGUUUUAAAAAAAAAUUAAUAUCUUAAAAAGAACGGGUAUUUUAAUAUAUUUUAAUAUCUCAAUAUUCAUUAACAUUGAAUGGGUAUUGCCAUCAGUUAUGUUUUUGUAUUCUUAAAAUUGAUCAAAGGUCUUGUCGGUUUGCUGACAUUAAAAGUGAUACUAAUUUCCUUUAACUUUUAAAGGGAAUGAUUAAAAUAGUUUCUUCUUUGAAAUUGAAUUCUUAGACAUGAAUUCUUAAGAUCCGUUUUGGUUUCAAAUUUCAUUUUGGCAUUGAAUUUUUAAAAUAAAUUUUUAACGUUUCUUUCAAGGAAGAUGUAUCUUCUUUGGGCUAUAUAUAAAACUAUCUACUUGUGUUCAUGGAAGUGGUGUGGAAAAAAGUUAAAAUUUCUUUUUCUUUUUUUUUUGUGUUGGGUUUUCUUUUAUAUAAUCUUUGUUGUUUCUAUUCCUAAAUAUACUAGAAGAACUUGUUGGAUCCUGAGGGAUAGGUCUAAUUAUUUAUCUCGAAUGGACAAAAUAUCCUUAGGAACAGUGUCUUCGACACGCCUCAAGCUAAAUCCUUUAUUCUCCAUAAUAAUCCAAUUUUGUUUAACAACAAUAAAGUGGCAUUUUGAAAUAUUUUCAAGUCCAAUCCGGAACCAUUUUCAACCACAAUACUUUGCAUAAAUUGUUGAAAAAUAUAUUUCUCGGGAAAGAUGGUUGAUAGAAAGAAGGAAAAAUGAACCAAAGUGUUCAGAAUAAACCCCAUAAAAAUAAUAUUUACGGUAAUAAAAGUAAAUAAUAACGUAACAUCGAGAUACGAUAAUUAAAUGAAUCAAAGAGUGACAACGGCCCCAAGAUUUUUAUAUAAAAAAUUAUUUGAAUAAAUAAAAAAUCACGGUCCAGAAAAUAGCAACUGAUAUCACUAUAGCAAGGAAUUUUACACUUUGUAGGUCCUAGUAAAAUACUCCAUAAACCACUACAACACUCAAAAGAAAUAAACCUCUUUUGAUAUUCUUACCUCACUAUAAUAUCCCUCAUUCUUUAUUUUUCUCGCAGACAAUUUUCUUCUUUCUCAUCUGCAAUGCCUCACUCUUUCUUUCUCUCUUUGUUGGUGC
This 1521-nucleotide long non-coding RNA is filed under the name Nicotiana benthamiana. RNAcentral describes it as "long non-coding RNA (NBEN_LNC034434)". Lineage: Eukaryota; Viridiplantae; Streptophyta; Magnoliopsida; Solanales; Solanaceae. The record is from RNAcentral.